UUCCUCCUGGGGGGAUCCGCCGCUCCCCUCCGGCUCUGUGGCCCAUCCACCGCCACCACGCUCCUGCCUGAAGACACGCCCUGGGGGAGAGAGACCACCACCUUCUCCUCCUCUAGGGUCGUGUCUUGUGGUGCGAGGCCUCCACCCACGGCCUGAUCCUCCGGUGCCGGGCAGCAGUGGUAGAAGGGUCCCACCGAAUACACCCUUUGCGCUGCUGGAGUCCUUCCACUAGGUCUCUCCGACUCUCCCUGCCAUGGUGAAGGCGCCUGGCCCAAGAAUGAAGCCUCAUCGGCUGAUGAUUGAAGUUCCAUUGCUCCCAUGAAGGAACACCUGCCGUUUCACUGGAUUGGAACUGGAAAUGUAUCCAAGGGACUUGGAAAUUGACCUGGUCUCUCCCAAGAGACUCUCCAGUAAGAUCUCCAGUGACUGUCUGGCAGAAGACCCGAUUGCUGCUGGAAGGUGGGACAGACUAUGGGUGGCCCCCGCCCACAAAGCAAUGGGACAGAUCAGACUGUGGAUCUUCCCAAGGCUCUGAGUGUUGUGAUUCUAGCAUUUAGUUCUGAGGGUCCUUAAUGGCACCGUUUGUGAAGAAAAAUCCUAAGAAACUGUGGCUCACAUCAGGACAAGAAGAGGAAAGACGUAGCACAGCCUCCAGACAAUGGUCGGAUAUUGGAGGAGGAUCAGGAUCAGGCAGCUGCUGUUCCCAAGGGCGUAAGGCUGGGGGCUCCGGCCAUGAAUGGCAGGCAAGAAGUUGUAUUCCAAGAGACCUAAGGAGGCGCUCCAGAGGUCCGUCUGGUGGCAUGUUGGGUGGUGCCCUUCCACUGCUUCUUCCUUUCCUCUCAAGAGGGCACGUAUGGCUUGUAGCCAAAACAAGAGCAGUCUGGAUGGUGGUGUUGGAAUGGUGGGGCUUCCAUCAUUCCCACCUCUCCCCCAAGGGGGCACCACCAGAAGAUCAACUAAUUGGCGUAGGCCUCGCUCCGUAAGCCACAGCCCUAGGGAAGGAGCAGCUGGUUGCUGUUCCCAAGGGCGUAAAGCUGGGGUCUUCUUGCGGCUGGCAAGAAGUUGAACACUGCUCUGUUCUGAGAGACCUAAGGGAGGCACUCCAGCGGUCUGCAUGAUGGUGUGUUGGGUGGUGCCCUUCCACUGCUGCAGCAGCAUUUUCCCCCGGAGUCACCCCUAGAGGAUCAGCUUGUCUACUUAUGGCUUGGACCCGAAGCAGCAGCAAAUGGGAAGAAUCAAAUGGCUGCUGUUCCUAAGCAGUUGGCUUUGGGGGCAAUAUGGUAGCCAUGGUUUGGCCACAGAGUUGGAGGCUAGUGGUGCAUUUCCCCAGGAGGAAGGGGGAUUUCCCCAUGACUCUGGCUUGGGAGUUGCCGGCGCUGGGAUUAUGAACAGUGGCAGUGGGAUGGAGCCUCUGCUGAGUAUAUGGGGGCUGCCAUGAAGAGGGCAAUGACUCUGGCAGAGGUUUUCCCAUUGGGGUCGCCAGCAGAAGAUCAGCUGGUCCGCCUAGGCCUUGCACCAGAAGCCACGGCCCUAGACAAGGAGCAGGGGGUGGUGUCUCCUCAAGGGUGUGGCUUUGGGUGGCAGCAGGGUGGUGGUGGUCGGUCCACUGAGCCAGAGGGGAGCAGUGGAUUCCCCCUGGAGGAAGGGUCUGGCUUUUCCUUGAAGAGCCCCAGACCUUUGAUGGUCAUCUCUGGCAGUGGAGUGAGCCUGUACUGAAUCUCUGGUGGUUGCCAGGAAGAUGGAAGUGGCUUCACUUAGGGAUUGGCCCAUUGGGGUCAGGGUUGUAUUCUUUGGGUUGUUAUUUUAAGUACUCCAUGGAAGAACCAUCUCUCUGGUCAUGCCAGUAUUUCCUGAUGGAGAGGGGCAUAAGGCAAAGGAAAAGUUCCUGUGGUGGAGGCAUAAGUCAAAGUUCCUCCCGGGGAUGGGCUGCAAUAAUUUGGCCCUCUCCACUGCAGCCUCAAGGUUCCUUCUGUGGAGUCUCCUUAGGAAGGGGUUUCCCUCCAGAAGGCACGCUCCCACCUGGUGCUUUGGCCACUCGCCGAGCAGCCUUGAUCUUCCCUGGGAGGGCUGGUGGGCUGCCCUCCCGAGGUGGCUUCCUCUCGGUGCUGGCUUCUGGCUGGGGCGGCCUCUCAUCUUUUGGGAGUCCUCACCCAUUCUGCUGAUGGUCCAGCCACAGACUGCUGGAGGUGAUGGACUUGGUUCCACCAGAUCUCUCCUCCAAUGCUCCUGAAAAGAAAAGAAAUGGUUUGGGUUUGGUUUUAAUUUCUGGGUCUGGCUCUGUCUUGGGAGGCCCAGAAACUGGAUGGUCAGCUCUGGCAAGGGGUCGAACCUCUGCUGAACUGAUGGCAGUUGCCAAGAUCAUCGGGGUCAGGGUCUCCUUCCUCUGGAUGGCAUUGGAAGAUGCCUGGAGGAGGAACUGUCUCCCUGGACAGGCAGAAGGAUGGUCCUGCCCCAGUGGGAAGAAGACCCACCCAGGCUCUUGCAGGUCCAGGUUCCUCCUGGGUAUGGGCUCUAAUAUCUUAGUGUGAUCCACCGCAGCCUCCAGCUUCCUUCUCUGGAGUCUCCUUACGCCCAGGUGGGGAAGGGGUUUCCCUCCAGAAGGCCCACUCCCAUCUGGUGCUUUGGCCACACACUGAGCAGCCUUGAUCUUCCCUGGGAGGGCUGGUGGGCUGCGUUCCCGAGGUGGCUUCCCCUUGGUGCUGGUUUCUGGCUGGGGCGGCCCCUCUGAUCUCUUGGGAGUCCUCACCCUUUCCACUGAUGGUCCAGCCACAGGGCUGGGCCAUCAAGGGCAAGGCUGGAUUCCUGUGACACCUGGCUGGUACUGGCCCCAGGCACCAGGGAAGCAGCAGCAGCAGCAUCCGGACCACCAUGUGGCUGCUGGAGGUGAUGGCCUUCCUUCCACCAGAUCUCCCCUUCUGAAAAGAAAGGACAUGUCUGGGUCUGGCUCUGCCUUGGGAGGCCCCCGCGUCUGGAUGGUCAGCUCUGGCAAGGGGUCGAGCCUCUGCUGAGCUGAUGGCAGUUGCCAAGAUCAUCGGGGUCAGGGUCUUCUUCCUCGGGAUGGUAUUUGAAGAGGACUGGAGAGGAACUUUCUCCCUGGAAGGAUGGUCCUGCCCCUGUGGGAAGAAGCCCCACCCAGGCUUCCUAACAUGUGAUAUACCUGGAUUAAGUUAGCAGGGUGGGGCGGGGUCAGAGUUCUAAUCUUUGGACCUUGCUAUGCCUGUGGCACCGUUGCUGAACUCUCUUUGCUACUCCUCUUAGCUGUACAGAGGCAGUUCCGUGCCCCCUUGAUCCCCUUCCCCAGCCAUGACCCAUUCAAACUUGCCUGGCUUCAAAGCCUUGCAAAUAAAUGGAGAGGACAUUUUCCUAGCUGCCAAGAUGAAGGAGAACUGGUCCAAAUGGCGAUCAAAGUUGAGGUGCUUCCUGGCAACUUGACCAAAUGUCAAUCACGUUCUGGAAGCUUCAGAGGGAAGCUAAUCUGCUUCACUCAUCAUAACUGAUUGCCACCCGCCAUGAGAUGUGGCUGUCCGUUGCGGUCAGGGUCUCCUUCCUCUGGAUGGCUGUUGAAGAAGCCUGGGGAGGAGCCGACUCCCUGGACAGGCCAGGAGGACGGUCCUGCCCCAUUGGGAAGAAGUCCCGCCCAGGCUCCCUGAGGUCCAGGUUCCUCCUGGGGAUGGGCUCUAAUAUCCUGGCGCGAUCCACCGCAGCCUCCAGCCUCCUUCUGUGGAGUCUCCCCUCCCCCAGGCAGGGAAGGGGAGACUCAUGAAGAUGGCAUGAAGAAAGGAAUGUUAUUUCUAGCGGUUUCUCAGCUUUAUAUGCUGACAAAAUUCACAUCUCCAGGAAGUUUACGUUAUAAAAGAAAUCUCUAGGUGGUUUACAUAACCGCUUUGCAUUUACUUGGACAAAAGCAAGCCUCAGAAUUUCAGAACUGCAAAUAUUAAGUAUGUUAACCAUGAAAGAUGGGAGGGGGGGGAGAGACACAGCUUGUGGCUGCCCAGGACUAGCUCUUCUUGGGAAUAGCUUGGCCCUCAAGCAAAGAGGUGGGUUCCUGUGAGGCCUGCUUGUUACUGGCCCCAGGCGCCAGGGGAGGCAGCAGCAGCAGCCUCUGGACCACCAUGUAUGUGGUUGCUCGAGGUGAUGUGCCAGAUCUUCUGCCUGAUCUCUCUUCCUCUGCUCCUGAUAAGAAAAAUAAGUUUUUAUUUUUCACACCUGUAUAUGCUGCCAAAAUUCACAUUGCAACGUGGUUUACUUUUCCUCUUUGAAUUUGUUUGGACAAAAGCAAGUCUGGGAAUGGCAUUCAAACGCAGGAAAGUAGACAGCGAGAUGGUUUUGUGUUGAAGUGGGGUCUUUUUAUUAAGUUCAUUAAUUUCUAGAUUAAGAACAAAUAAUAUGCAAGCUUUUCUUCCAUAUGUUGUCAUUCUGGUGUAGGACUGUAUUUUCCCCCUCCCCCCACCUUGGCUAAUGAAAUAUAUUAUGUCUGGGUCUGAUGUCAAUUACAACAGGCUGGUCAAUGUAUUAUGUGUGUUUGUAGAGAAAGGUGGUAUUUUUGUUUUUAAAAGUAAGUUAAUAUGUAUGUAUUUACAUUCAACAUGUUUGCAUUGCCUUUCUUAAACAGAUAACAAAGCACAUAAAUAUAAGAAUACUUAAAAUAAUAACAAAGAAGUUCAUUAAACACACUACACUUUUAAAAGGCAAAAAAAUCAGUGUAGAAAACCAGCAAGAGUCAAAAAUGAAAUUUCAUAAAUCCUUUUCAUAGAACAGAACUACCUUUGCUCCUCCAGUGCAAUGCAAUCUAUGCCUACGCCUUGGCUCGUGAGUUACCCAGGAGGGUAUUCUGAAAUAGAAGAAUGGGAUUAUCUCGGAAAUCUCACACUUGCCACCCCACUCGUUUCUGCAUAAAAUGGGGCUUCUUGUAUUUUUCUGGCUGAACUUUUCUCCAUUAAUUCUCCAUUGUAUGAAAAGGUUGUCCCCUUUCUCACCAUAUGCAACGGAGGUGACAUUUUUCUCAACUAGAAAUGUCCCCCUUUUCAGGUCAAUGAACCCUGCAAAAGCAGCUUUGCUUUCUAAAUUUCACUGUAGAAAAUUGUGACUGUAAGCAGCUUGGGAAGUUGGGAGCAGAGGCUUUUCUUUUUUUGCUCUAACUUACUAUUUACCAUUAAAAAAUAAAAUAAAAUCUG
This is a long non-coding RNA of Hemicordylus capensis (graceful crag lizard), 5174 nucleotides long. RefSeq lists it as uncharacterized. Lineage: Eukaryota; Metazoa; Chordata; Lepidosauria; Squamata; Cordylidae. The record is from RefSeq and is a predicted model, not a curated record. The transcript is spliced from 3 exons.